RNAcentral lists this ribosomal RNA (492 nucleotides) under uncultured bacterium. RNAcentral describes it as "partial 16S ribosomal RNA". It matches the Rfam family "Bacterial small subunit ribosomal RNA", at positions 28 to 507 of the family's 1533-position model. The record is from RNAcentral.
GAUGAACGCUAGCUACAGGCUUAACACAUGCAAGUCGAGGGGAAACGACAUCGAAAGCUUGCUUUUGAUGGGCGUCGACCGGCGCACGGGUGAGUAACGCGUAUCCAACCUGCCCAUCACUUGGGAAUAACCUUGCGAAAGUAAGACUAAUACCCAAUGAUAUCCCACGAAGGCAUCGGAAUGGGAUUAAAGAUUUAUCGGUGAUGGAUGGGGAUGCGUCUGAUUAGCUUGUUGGCGGGGUAACGGUCCACCAAGGCAACGAUCAGUAGGGGUUCUGAGAGGAAGGUCCCCCACAUUGGAACUGAGACACGGUCCAAACUCCUACGGGAGGCAGCAGUGAGGAAUAUUGGUCAAUGGGCGAGAGCCUGAACCAGCCAAGUAGCGUGCAGGAAGACGGCCCUAUGGGUUGUAAACUGCUUUUAUAAGGGAAUAAAGUGGGUCACGUGUGACUUUUUGCAUGUACCUUAUGAAUAAGGACCGGCUAAUUCCGUG